AGUCUGUCUGAAGGAUAGGUGCCUGU
This 26-nucleotide non-coding RNA is filed under the name Rattus norvegicus (Norway rat). Lineage: Eukaryota; Metazoa; Chordata; Mammalia; Rodentia; Muridae. The record is from RNAcentral.